RNAcentral lists this ribosomal RNA (498 nucleotides) under uncultured bacterium. Its description in RNAcentral is "partial 16S ribosomal RNA". It matches the Rfam family "Bacterial small subunit ribosomal RNA", at positions 28 to 508 of the family's 1533-position model. The record is from RNAcentral.
GAUGAACGCUGGCGGCGUGCCUAAUACAUGCAAGUCGAGCGAACAGAUGAGGAGCUUGCUCCUCUGACGUUAGCGGCGGACGGGUGAGUAACACGUGGAUAACCUACCUAUAAGACUGGGAUAACUUCGGGAAACCGGAGCUUAUACCAGAUAAUAUAUUGAACCGCAUGGUUCAAUAGUGAAAGACGGUUUUGCUGUCACUUCUAGAUGGAUCCGCGCCGCAUUAGCUAGUUGGUAAGGUAACGGCUUACCAAGGCAACGAUGCGUAGCCGACCUGAGAGGGUGAUCGGCCACACUGGAACGGAGACACGGUCCAGACUCCUACGGGAGGCAGCAGUAGGGAAUCUUCCGCAAUGGGCGAAAGCCUGACGGAGCAACGCCGCGUGAGUGAUGAAGGUCUUCGGAUCGUAAAACUCUGUUAUUAGGGAAGAACAAAUGUGUAAGUAACUAGGCACGUCUUGACGGUACCUAAUCAGAAAGCCACGGCUAAAUACGGGC